UCCCCAGCAGCCGGCACCCGCCUGGCCCAACAGUGACAGAGCAGGGCGCGCAGCCGCUGAGUGCUCUGGAGUCCCUGCCCCGAGGUGCCACGCCCACGUCGGCCUCACCCGGGCAGGCAUGGGGCGGUCGGGCUUAGCGCCGCACCCCGCCGGCCAGAGCCACCGUCUCUCCAGACGCGGCCCCAGCGCCCACUGGGGAUGGCAAAGACGACAUCCGGUGCGCCGAGGCUGCUCACAAAAUCUUCCCACACAGGUUGAGAGAGGAGGGGAUCCAAUUGCCUGUGAGGAGGACACGGCUCCUGGGUGGACCCUGCAGAUUGUGAAGUUCAAGUCACAGCUCCUGGGAAGGUCUCUGUGUGUAAAGAUCGUGGGGGUGAGACAGAUUCAGGGACCACACUCUGCUCUGCUCUGUACCUCUGAGUGUCGAUCCAGCUGCCUUGUGACCAGGACACUUAGAAGAAGCAUGGACCCUGCAAGAGGAUGGGCUCAAGGACAGCUUGCCUGACUGCAGCCAUAAGGAUGAAGCCUCUUCAGGUCAUUUGGCCAAUUUAAUGCCGACAGAAGAGGCCACCAUCUGAAUGUAAUUUAUCUCCUCUUUCAUCUCCUUUCAUUCCCC
Molecule: long non-coding RNA, 616 nt
Organism: Homo sapiens (human)
Lineage: Eukaryota; Metazoa; Chordata; Mammalia; Primates; Hominidae
Exons: 4
Source: RefSeq, marked validated